This 716-nucleotide ribosomal RNA is filed under the name Bacillus sp. (in: firmicutes). RNAcentral's name for it is "bacterial SSU rRNA". It matches the Rfam family "Bacterial small subunit ribosomal RNA", at positions 112 to 814 of the family's 1533-position model. Lineage: Bacteria; Bacillati; Bacillota; Bacilli; Caryophanales; Bacillaceae. The record is from RNAcentral.
AACACGUGGGUAACCUGCCUGUAAGACUGGGAUAACUCCGGGAAACCGGAGCUAAUACCGGAUAGUUCCUUGAACCGCAUGGUUCAAGGAUGAAAGACGGUUUCGGCUGUCACUUACAGAUGGACCCGCGGCGCAUUAGCUAGUUGGUGAGGUAACGGCUCACCAAGGCGACGAUGCGUAGCCGACCUGAGAGGGUGAUCGGCCACACUGGGACUGAGACACGGCCCAGACUCCUACGGGAGGCAGCAGUAGGGAAUCUUCCGCAAUGGACGAAAGUCUGACGGAGCAACGCCGCGUGAGUGAUGAAGGUUUUCGGAUCGUAAAGCUCUGUUGUUAGGGAAGAACAAGUGCAAGAGUAACUGCUUGCACCUUGACGGUACCUAACCAGAAAGCCACGGCUAACUACGUGCCAGCAGCCGCGGUAAUACGUAGGUGGCAAGCGUUGUCCGGAAUUAUUGGGCGUAAAGGGCUCGCAGGCGGUUUCUUAAGUCUGAUGUGAAAGCCCCCGGCUCAACCGGGGAGGGUCAUUGGAAACUGGGAAACUUGAGUGCAGAAGAGGAGAGUGGAAUUCCACGUGUAGCGGUGAAAUGCGUAGAGAUGUGGAGGAACACCAGUGGCGAAGGCGACUCUCUGGUCUGUAACUGACGCUGAGGAGCGAAAGCGUGGGGAGCGAACAGGAUUAGAUACCCUGGUAGUCCACGCCGUAAACGAUGAGU